GGAGAUUUAGCUCAGUGGUAGAGCCCUUGCCUAGCAAGCACAAGGCCCUGGGUUCGGCCCCCAGCUCCC
Molecule: transfer RNA, 69 nt
Filed under: Rattus norvegicus (Norway rat)
Lineage: Eukaryota; Metazoa; Chordata; Mammalia; Rodentia; Muridae
Rfam family: tRNA
About the family: Transfer RNA (tRNA) molecules are approximately 80 nucleotides in length.
Source: Rfam by way of RNAcentral